RNAcentral lists this long non-coding RNA (961 nucleotides) under Cricetulus griseus (Chinese hamster). RNAcentral's name for it is "lncRNA (ENSCGRG00015029297.1)". Lineage: Eukaryota; Metazoa; Chordata; Mammalia; Rodentia; Cricetidae. The record is from RNAcentral.
GAAAGGCUUGUACAAAAAUCUAAACAAAUCAUGAAGACUGCAUUCUCGUUUUAGAAAUCUUUACUUUUAAUUGAAUGUUUUUACUUCCAGUAUAUUCUGAUCAUGGUUUUCCCCCACCCAUAUCCUUUAUUUUACUCCUCAGCUACCUCAAAAACUUAAUAAAGCCAGAAAGAUUAUCAGUGCAAGCCUGUGGCUAUCUGAGUCCAUUUCCACCCCAACCAGAAGCAAGUGCAAGGUGCUUCAAGCAGGAUUUACAGAAGGCCACAAAGUGUCCACGAGUCCCACAUCUUUUCCACCUAAGGCCAUUGUCUUUGACUUUUGUUGUCACAAAGAAGUCAGCAGCUGUUUGUGCAACGGAGGGAGGAAACCAUCUCCUGCUGUUCCCUGAGUCGUGACAGAAACAAAAAGGGAAAAGACAAUGCAAUUUUUGCUCCUCUGGCCUCCCCAUAUUUGGUCAGGUACUGACUUAUGUGGCCCAAUAGUACUGCCUCGGGGAAAACAGACACAGGCAUUCUCAGGCAUCAGAGCCCACCUGAUGGCUUUCAUGAUGGUGACAGUCCCUUGACAGUAGAUAUGAAGCUACUCACUUGCCUAGAAGUUAUGGGAAAGACCACCAGAAGACAAAAAGAUUGGUUGUUAAGGCUAAGAAUCCAUUCAUCUCGGAGAUGUUUACAUCAGAAAAAGUACAGAAGCUGUUCUCAGAAGCCCACAUUGCAGAACAGUCAGCUGCAGCGUGUGAAGAAGCGAUUUCAUUUCCAUGGCAGCCAGAGUCCAGACGCUCGAGCUUUAUAGAUUAAAAUCAAUGCCUGAAUUGCAUUCACAAAGCCUGAAUUGCCUGUCAGACUUCAGGACCAGCCGCACAACGUGAUAAAUGAGGUGAAGAGCCCUGUCCAGGCCUGGGAGUGUGUGCUGCAUUAGUGAAGACUUUGGUUUCUUUUUCAAAGCAAAUACCAAAUGGAAU